Molecule: long non-coding RNA, 1390 nt
Filed under: Ornithorhynchus anatinus (platypus)
Lineage: Eukaryota; Metazoa; Chordata; Mammalia; Monotremata; Ornithorhynchidae
Description: lncRNA (ENSOANG00000051105.1)
Source: RNAcentral
CUCAAUUAUUCCCACUUGAAUUUAGUUCCAUUGAUAUUCCAUGCAAAUCAGUAAGGGAGGGAAACUUGCAGAGACAAAUUUGAAAUCCUUAAUUGAUACUAAUGAAUGAUUCUUUAGUUGUUAAAGCAUCAAGGGAUAAGUGAAUGGAAUUGUCCUUGAGUAAAAAAGGAAAUAAAAAAUAGUAAAAAGAAAAAAUCCCUACCAUCCUAGCUUCAAAGUCAAGCUGUCAUUUUUUCCUCAACCCUGAAGAUCCCCAGGUUAACUUUUUAAUGCUGAUGUCUGUUGAAAUAAGUGAAAUUUGUUUAGUGAACUUGAAGGCAUGUCUUCAAAGAACCCUACAAUUGAACCUGUGCAAAGCUCAACCUUUCAUCACCCAAAUAUGGAGCAAUGUGCCUUAAAAUAUGAAAGAAAUGAUGAAAUCUGGAACACAUUAUGAAAUUAUCGAGAAGGGAAAUACAGAAACGUAUGGAAAUAAAGCACACAAAUAUCAAAAGAUCUGAUGCAUAUGAAGUCUGUUGUAAAAGGACACAUCAUUUUUAGUUUGAACUUCUGCUUUUAAAUUUUAGGGUAAUGUGAUAUAGCCUUUACUUGUUUAGUACUUGAGGAACUUUUGGUGUUAACAGUGUGCUUUUUUACAGAAAUUCCUUUGCAUUUCAGAAUUUGUACAGUUUCCAGGGUACAAUAAGAAAAACAUGGAAGAGAUUUUAAUAGAAAAACAGCACUCAGAAUUCUGCAGCUGACAAUCACGAUGCCUCUGUUGCUGCUUUUAUUUUAGUAAGUGGAACAGAUCAACUCUGUAGAGGAGCUGACUGGAUUCCUCCACUGACUGAAGCGAAAAUAGUAAGCCAGGCGGCCUGACAAAUCCAUCCCCUCUUUUUUGAACCACUCUGGGUACUGCCAUUCAAUUCCCAUCUCAUUAUGCACAUCCAAAUGGGAAACAGGAAUAAAUGCUAAAAUUCAUGAUGGGAAAUACCUAAUGCAAUCUCCUUGGGACUACAUGAUAUCAGAAAGCUGCCUUCUUUUACAGUUCACAUUGUUUCAGAUACCAUUUUGGUUUUAUCUUCUUACUUCUUGAAUAACAUUAUAUAAAUACAGUUUAACUCUCCAACUCUUCUUAGCUAUUCAGCUAAAACUAAGAGCCAACAGUAUUUUGACAUUCACUCUUCGGAAAAUCUUGCCAUUUAAGCUCAGUGGUGUAGAGGAGAAAGAUGGUGUGAAGUAAAGGGGAUUGAGUGAAUGAAGACAAAUUGAAAGGUAAAUAUUACCUUUUUACAGUUACUCUAUUACUGUAUUAUUCCUGUUAUAGCUGCUCUGUCUGAUCAUCAUAGAAACUUUAGCCUUUGAGCUAUGGAUAGUGAUUGUAGCAGCUUUCUUGUAAGGUUGUUUUUCU